This 407-nucleotide ribosomal RNA is filed under the name uncultured bacterium. RNAcentral describes it as "partial 16S ribosomal RNA". It matches the Rfam family "Bacterial small subunit ribosomal RNA", at positions 28 to 526 of the family's 1533-position model. The record is from RNAcentral.
GACGAACGCUGGCGGCGUGCCUAAUACAUGCAAGUAGGACGCAGUUGCGAACGGGUGAGUAACGCGUAGGUAACUACCUAUUAGAGGGGGAUAACUAUUGGAAACGAUAGCUACUACCGCAUACUAGUAGAUGGACCUGCGUUGUAUUUGCUAGUAGGUAGGGUAAUGGCCUACCUAGGCAACGAUACAUAGCCGAACCGGGAGGGUGAUCGGCCAACAUGGGACGGAGACACGGCCCAGACACCUAGGGAAGGCAGCAGUAAGGAUUCUGCGGCAAUGGGGGGAACCCUGAACGAGCAACGCCGGGUGAGUGAAGAAGGUUUUCGGAUCGUAAAGCUCUGUUGUUAAGGAAGCGGUACUUAACCAGAAAGGGACGGCUAACUACGUGCCAGCCGCCGCGGUAAGAC